CCAGCCGUGUGGUGCCGUACGGAUUCGGCCCGGUGCGUCUCCGAAGGGAGCUUCGCCGCUGCCUGUGCACAGACGCUCAGGACACGGAGUGCUGGACCUUCUGCUCAUCUCAGAGAGACGGAGGAGCUGACAUCAAGAAGAAGAGCGACAAACUCAAAGGAUACAGAGCUGCAUUCUGGGAAAAAAGGAGCAGACAUGCCCUCAAAGCCCAGACCUGAGGAAGAGGAGCAUCCGACAUGGGGAAUGGAUGCAUCCGAAACUCCAGAUAUUGGACCUGUGGUUUGGUCAUGCACAGCUUAUGUAAAUGUGAUGAUGACAUGAAGUGCUAGAAGCUUUUUUAACUCACAGCAGAUGUUUUAUUCUUAGUUCCUCCAAGAGUUGGAUCUUGUUGAUUUGUGACUUUGAGGGACACCACACCAAGCUCAUAAAGGCCGCUGCAGCCCCCAAAACCUCACGGUGGUUUGGACUUUAUGUUUUGAAGUAAAAUCCAGGCCACCCUCAGGAUCUGCUCUGGGUCUUUUAUGAUGCUGGUGGGAAGGAGCAGACCUCAAUGGCUUCCAGCAUCAAUACGGGGCAGCAUAAGGGACAAACUUCAAACUGACAACAACCUGGUGGAGGUUCAUGUUAAAACUAACGGAUUCCCCCAUCGACCCGUUAACUUUAGCGUAUUAUAGCUGACAGAUUUAAUUAAAACAAAAAACUUCAAAGCAGUUUUAAGUCAAACGUUUAUGACAAAAAUGUCAUUUUACAAGGCUAAAGUUGUUUCAUUGGAAAACGAUGUGUCUGUUGGUCAACAUAAUAUAUUUUAACCUCCAUAAACACGUGAAAUGUUUUUGUAAAAUAAGUUUUACUCUUGACAUGUUACCCUUUUAUAUAAAACUAAAGACAUUAAACAAAAGGUUUAACUUAAAAAAAUAUGUCCCUUAAAAAGCUUUUUUAAGCUAUAAAAUGUAUAUUUUCCCUUUGAACUUGUAUCUCUUCAGGACCCUAAAUGACUAAAAGAUAAGGUUUUUAUUCAGAGAUCUUUGCAUAAAUUGAAUGAAGACUAAAAAGACUGUAGGGUAAAUUUUAUUGGAGUAAAAUGAAACUUUAAAAUUUUACACGAAUUCAAAACUAAAUUGAGAAAAAAAGAUAUUUAUUAAAUAUCAUUAAAUUAAAUUGUAUUAUUUUCCCAGGUGAGGCACUUUUUGGCUUCUCAGAUCUCCUACCUUUGAAAAACCGAAUGUUUCUUUCAUGACCAAAAAAAAAAGACUUGAUGUCCACUCACCAAAACGGUUGACUGUGACUACUGCCAAUUUCCCAAAAUGUUCACAGUCCAUGAACAUUUCCUCUCAUGAGUCACAGACAUUUCCUUUGGUUUAGUAGGAUUUUAGAACAUGUUCAAAACAAUAACAGACACAUGCUCUGCUUAAACAGCCACAGAGUCUCAAAAUUGUCUCAAGCAUAUCUCAAAAACAUUUAAAAUGCAUUUAAAACAAGUCAAACACAUUUUAAACUCGUCUCAAACAAGUCCCAAACACAUCUCAAACAUAUUUGAAACACAUUUUAAACUCAUUUCAAACACAUCUCAAACACAUCUUAAAGCCGUUUCAAACACAUCUCAAACACGUCUCGAACACAUCUCAAACACGUUUUAAACAUGUCUCAAAUACUUCUCAAACAUAUUUUGAAAACGUCUAAAAUGUGUUUUUAACUAAUUUCAAAUACAUGUCAAACACAUUUCGAACACGUCUCAAAUAUGUCUCAAAUAUGUCUCAAACACAUCUUAAACAUGUCUCAAACACUUCUCAAACAUAUAUCAAAAACAUCUCAAACAUAUUUUAAAUUAAUUUCAAACAUUUUUUAACUCAUUUCAAACACAUCUCAAACAUGUCUCAAACGUGUCUCAGACAUGGCAGCAGACUUGACCCAAUAGUUUAGAAAAUAAAGUGUUAAUAUUUUAACCAAACAAAAAGCCGAUUUAAAGUUGUUGUUUUUUGUCUGCUUUAGUCUUAUAUUGAGGCUGACUUUGAAAUAAGCUGUAAAUAAAAAUUAAAGUUCAAAUGGAAAACUUGUCCAACCGACUGUACGAUGAUGACAUUUGAGUUGUGAGGUUUUCCUGUCAUUUACCAGAGUUUGGUGGUGUGAAUGUAAACAGGAUCUUUCUGUCUGUGAAGAGAACACGUCUCUCUGCAGGAUCUCUCUCUGUAUUUGCUUUAGGAUGCAUGUGACGACACACAGUAACCACAUUGCUGUCUGUAUUUAAACCUGUUUGCACCUUCAUUUCCUUCUCCAACGUGCACCUCUGACCAAAAGAUGCACACUGAUGUGGAACUGUAAAAAUAAAGUAUUUAUUUUAUUCCUCUACUGCACAUAUAAAGUGUAACCUAAAGUGAUAUUUAAAUAGAUGAAGCUUGACUA
Oryzias melastigma (Indian medaka) is the source of this 2400-nucleotide long non-coding RNA. RefSeq lists it as uncharacterized. The record is from RefSeq and is a predicted model, not a curated record. The transcript is spliced from 2 exons. Lineage: Eukaryota; Metazoa; Chordata; Actinopteri; Beloniformes; Adrianichthyidae.